This 497-nucleotide ribosomal RNA is filed under the name uncultured bacterium. RNAcentral's name for it is "partial 16S ribosomal RNA". It matches the Rfam family "Bacterial small subunit ribosomal RNA", at positions 28 to 507 of the family's 1533-position model. The record is from RNAcentral.
GAUGAACGCUGGCGGCGUGCCUAAUACAUGCAAGUCGAGCGAACAGAUCAGGAGCUUGCUCCUUUGACGUUAGCGGCGGACGGGUGAGUAACACGUGGGUAACCUACCUAUAAGACUGGGAUAAAUUCGGGAAACCGGCGCUAAUACCGGAUAAUAUUUCGAACCGCAUGGUUAGAUAGUGAAAGAUGGUUUUGCUAUCACUUAUAGAAGGAUCCGCGCCGUAUUAGUUAGUUGGUAAGGUAACGGCUUACCAAGGCGACGAUACGUAGCCGACCUGAGAGGGUGAUCUCCCACACUGGAACUGAGACACGGUCCAGACUCCAACGGGAGGCAGCAGUAGGGAAUCUUCCACGAUGGGCGAAAGCCUGACGGAGCAACGCCGCGUGAGUGAUGAAGGUCUUCGGUUCGUAAAACUCUGUUAUUAGGGAAGAACAUACGUGUAAGUAACUGUGCACGUCUUGACGGUACCUAAUCAGAAAGCCACGGCUAACUACGUG